Non-coding RNA from Daldinia sp. FL1419, 110 nucleotides. The record is from the annotation of a GenBank genome assembly. NCBI's taxonomy places the organism in Eukaryota, Fungi, Ascomycota, Sordariomycetes, Xylariales, Hypoxylaceae.
GCCCCUAUAGCUCAGUGGUAGAGCGUUCCACUCGUAAGCACGUGAUCACAUUAUGUGAACUAGUCUACAACGAAAUGGAGAGGUCCAUCGUUCAAUCCGGUGUGGGGGCA